AUUCCAGCUCCAAGAGCGUAUAUUAAAGUUGUUGCGGUUAAAAAGCUCGUAGUUGAACCGAGGGGGCGGCGCGCGGCAAAAAAGCUCCGGGUCCUCCGCUCGUCGCGGGGGGUUCGGGGUCGCGCGUCCGCUUUCGAGUUCGCGGUGUUAAAACCGGCUCGAUCGGGGGCGGGGGUUUUUUCCUCCGUCGUCGGUCGCGGUCGGAUCGCGGAGUUUUACUUUGAAUAAAUUAGAGUGUUCAAAGCGGACGGAUCACGUCUCGAAUAGAUUAGCAUGGGAUAACGAAACAAGACCAAACAGGGGGGCGCUUCCGGGCGUUCCCGUCGGUCCAAAUUUGCUGGUUUCUGGGGCCGAGGUAAUGAUUAACAGGGACGGUUGGGGUCGCUCGUACUCGGUGGAGAGAGGUGAAAUUCUAAGACCCAUCGAAGACGAACAAGUGCGAAGGCAUUCGACAAGGAUGUUUUCUUUAAUCAAGAACGAAAGUUAUGGGAUCGAAGAUGAUCAGAUACCGUCGUAGUCAUAACCGUAAACGAUGUUGACUCGGGAUCCAGGGAUGUUACAUGGAUGACUCUCUGGGCACCGUGUGCGAAAGCACAAGUAUUCGAACUCCGGGGGGAGUAUGGUCGCAAGGCUGAAACUUAAAGGAAUUGACGGAAGGGCACCACCAGGUGUGGAAUCUGCGGCUUAAUUUGACCCAACACGGGGAAACUUACCCAGUCCGGACGCGACGAGGAUUGACAGAUUGAUAGUUCUUUCUUGAAUUCGUGGAAGCCGGUGCAUGGCCGUUUUUAGUUGGUGGAGCGAUUUGUCUGGUUAAGUCCGAUAACGAACGAGACCUAAUUUUAUUAAAUAGUGGUGCGAACAAGGGGGCUUUCGCGGCGGCGGCGGGUUCGGGUUCUCCCGGCUCGUCGUCUCGUCGCGGGGCUCCCGCUAAUUUGUCCGCAGCGAUUGUACUUCUUAGAGAGACACUUGGUCGAUAACAGCAGCCAAUGGAAGUUUUAGGCAAAAACAGGUCUGUGAUGCCGCUAGAUGUCUGGGGCUGCACGCGCGUUACACUGACGUGUUCAACGAGUAUUUUAGAACGACCUGGCCCGAGGGGGUUUGGGCAAUCUCUAAACGCACGUCGUGAUGGGGAUCGUGCUUUGUAACUAUCGCACGUGAACGAGGAAUACCUAGUAAGGGCAGGUCAUCAACCUGUCCUGAUUACGUCCCUGCCCUUUGUACACACCGCCCGUCGCUUCUACCGAUUGAAUUGCUCGAUGAGGACUCGGGAGACGGAGCGUGGCGGCGGUCCUCGUGGCCGCCGCAUCUCGUUUCUUCGUCGAACCUGUUCGAAUCUCGCAGUUUAGAGGAAGAAGAAGUCGUAACAAGGUCUCCGUAGGUGAACCUUCGGAGG
This 1396-nucleotide ribosomal RNA is filed under the name metagenome. RNAcentral describes it as "bacterial SSU rRNA". It matches the Rfam family "Eukaryotic small subunit ribosomal RNA", at positions 582 to 1823 of the family's 1831-position model. The record is from RNAcentral.